GUUUAUCAGUGGUAGAUUUUUUGCUUUGGUCGUCGGCGUGUUCGCCGGCCGCGGUCGGCGCUGGCGUUUGCUCGCCUGAUCGGCCCCAUGAGAGUGGAUGCGCCAGUGGCUCUCGUUGACAACGUACAUCGGUAACCUCAAAAAGUCGUUCCUCGCGAACACAUCGCAACGCCGGCUGUAGCGACAGCCAUCCGGCCGUUCCCCUUUGCCGUGUGGUAGGUCGUCCCCGCUGAAUCUGCAGUCUCCUCCGAUGCCCGCGUUGUUGAGCGGAGUUUCCGCAUCCAGCAACAGCGGCGGCUAAUCUUAUCCAUCCCCAUUUUCCCUUGACCCUGUGUUUGUACGAACAG
RNAcentral lists this ribosomal RNA (347 nucleotides) under Triticum aestivum (bread wheat). RNAcentral describes it as "partial small subunit ribosomal RNA". Lineage: Eukaryota; Viridiplantae; Streptophyta; Magnoliopsida; Poales; Poaceae. The record is from RNAcentral.